CUGUGAGGUAUGCUGGAGGUAUCAGAAGUGCGAAUGCUGACAUAAGUAACGAUAAAGCGGGUGAAAAGCCCGCUCGCCGGAAGACCAAGGGUUCCUGUCCAACGUUAAUCGGGGCAGGGUGAGUCGACCCCUAAGGCGAGGCCGAAAGGCGUAGUCGAUGGGAAACAGGUUAAUAUUCCUGUACUUGGUGUUACUGCGAAGGGGGGACGGAGAAGGCUAUGUUGGCCGGGCGACGGUUGUCCCGGUUUAAGCGUGUAGGCUGGUUUUCCAGGCAAAUCCGGAAAAUCAAGGCUGAGGCGUGAUGACGAGGCACUACGGUGCUGAAGCAACAAAUGCCCUGCUUCCAGGAAAAGCCUCUAAGCAUCAGGUAACAUCAAAUCGUACCCCAAACCGACACAGGUGGUCAGGUAGAGAAUACCAAGGCGCUUGAGAGAACUCGGGUGAAGGAACUAGGCAAAAUGGUGCCGUAACUUCGGGAGAAGGCACGCUGAUAUGUAGGUGAAGCGACUUGCUCGUGGAGCUGAAAUCAGUCGAAGAUACCAGCUGGCUGCAACUGUUUAUUAAAAACACAGCACUGUGCAAACACGAAAGUGGACGUAUACGGUGUGACGCCUGCCCGGUGCCGGAAGGUUAAUUGAUGGGGUCAGCGCAAGCGAAGCUCUUGAUCGAAGCCCCGGUAAACGGCGGCCGUAACUAUAACGGUCCUAAGGUAGCGAAAUUCCUUGUCGGGUAAGUUCCGACCUGCACGAAUGGCGUAAUGAUGGCCAGGCUGUCUCCACCCGAGACUCAGUGAAAUUGAACUCGCUGUGAAGAUGCAGUGUACCCGCGGCAAGACGGAAAGACCCCGUGAACCUUUACUAUAGCUUGACACUGAACAUUGAGCCUUGAUGUGUAGGAUAGGUGGGAGGCUUUGAAGUGUGGACGCCAGUCUGCAUGGAGCCGACCUUGAAAUACCACCCUUUAAUGUUUGAUGUUCUAACGUUGACCCGUAAUCCGGGUUGCGGACAGUGUCUGGUGGGUAGUUUGACUGGGGCGGUCUCCUCCUAAAGAGUAACGGAGGAGCACGAAGGUUGGCUAAUCCUGGUCGGACAUCAGGAGGUUAGUGCAAUGGCAUAAGCCAGCUUGACUGCGAGCGUGACGGCGCGAGCAGGUGCGAAAGCAGGUCAUAGUGAUCCGGUGGUUCUGAAUGGAAGGGCCAUCGCUCAACGGAUAAAAGGUACUCCGGGGAUAACAGGCUGAUACCGCCCAAGAGUUCAUAUCGACGGCGGUGUUUGGCACCUCGAUGUCGGCUCAUCACAUCCUGGGGCUGAAGUAGGUCCCAAGGGUAUGGCUGUUCGCCAUUUAAAGUGGUACGCGAGCUGGGUUUAGAACGUCGUGAGACAGUUCGGUCCCUAUCUGCCGUGGGCGCUGGAGAACUGAGGGGGGCUGCUCCUAGUACGAGAGGACCGGAGUGGACGCAUCACUGGUGUUCGGGUUGUCAUGCCAAUGGCACUGCCCGGUAGCUAAAUGCGGAAGAGAUAAGUGCUGAAAGCAUCUAAGCACGAAACUUGCCCCGAGAUGAGUUCUCCCUGACCCUUUAAGGGUCCUGAAGGAACGUUGAAGACGACGACGUUGAUAGGCCGGGUGUGUAAGCGCAGCGAUGCGUUGAGCUAACCGGUACUAAUGAACCGUGAGGCUUAACCUU
This 1684-nucleotide ribosomal RNA is filed under the name Escherichia coli C807_09. RNAcentral's name for it is "bacterial LSU rRNA". It matches the Rfam family "Bacterial large subunit ribosomal RNA", at positions 1261 to 2925 of the family's 2925-position model. Lineage: Bacteria; Pseudomonadati; Pseudomonadota; Gammaproteobacteria; Enterobacterales; Enterobacteriaceae. The record is from RNAcentral.